CAAGUAUUCCAGAUCAUGAGAUUGAGGCCUGCAGGCAUAGCAGAUCGGCACGGCGUGGGCAGAUCUACGCGAGGUGGCGAAGGGGCUGCUGCGAGCCUGCCCUGCGGGCAGCGGAUCCGGCCACCAGCACGCAUGGUCUGAGAGGCAAGAAGCGGCACAUGGGGGAGGCGGCAUACCGUGCAUCAGAGAGAAGAGGCAGCGCAGGGGAGGCGGAUCCACACUGCAUUCCUUGAAAUUGGUGGCUCUGACUAACCCGAGGUAAAAGCCUACCCAUCCCAGCCUGUGCGGCUGUGCGUGAUUUAAGUUGCAUGUGUUUGAAUUGUUGCUGGUAAAAUCCCUGAGUGUCCGCCGAUUUGUACCAGUCUGGAGGUGAAUCGCUGUAGCGUAUGUAGUGUUGGUCCAUCAGGUCACAGAUCCUUGUGAAAACCCCAUAUAUUUUCUGAUUGUAGUGGAUUUCUAUGGAUUUAGAUCACUGGUGAAUUGCUGCUUGCUUUCCUGUCCUGAUGAUAUCCUUAUCUGUAAUGGCAUAUAGGCUGCAUUGGUUCCACAGGAUAUUUCUCAUCAUCAUUUGCUUGGCUAGUUAUGUAGAUUGUGAAAUCGCUGAACCUGGAUCUCUUGUAACCUUUAUUGUGGAUAUUUUUUGCUAAUAAACAGCUGAAAUCAGUGAUAGCCAUUUUCUUCCCCGCACU
This 689-nucleotide long non-coding RNA is filed under the name Panicum hallii. Its description in RNAcentral is "long non-coding RNA (PHAL_LNC000912)". The record is from RNAcentral. Lineage: Eukaryota; Viridiplantae; Streptophyta; Magnoliopsida; Poales; Poaceae.